AAAGUGAAUUUCCGGCACCCACCGUAACAAUUAUUACGGUGGUUCUCCAACCCCCAUCUGUCCACCCACCCUCCAUCACACCACACGCCCCUGCUCGCAAACCCCUCUCAUCUGCUCGCAAUCCAUGGCAAUUGCGCUACGGAGAACUUGGUGAGGGGUGGUCGCCGGCUCAAGGUAGUGAUUUGGAGACGCCGGCGCGAUCUGCGGCCUUGCCAGCGCGUUGUUCUAGAGGAGUCAGCGAAAUUUACCUGUGUGCUGUCUGUUAGUUAGUUCGCCACAUGGUGGCGCCACUGGACCAGGCGGCACCGCAUGCCACAUUGGAACAAGAUCAGCGAGACGCCGCCACAGCCACAGAGAACAGCGGCAGGGAUCACGGAGCUGCCGACAUAGCGGAUGCUGAUCCAGGGGAAGCAAUCUGCGCUCCUGGAUCCGCACCUUCUGUCACGUCAAGGAUUUCGGUGCAGAAGGUGUGCUCACUCGUGGGCAAGUUCAACAAAUUCAAGAGGGAUUUGGUCGAGGAGAUCGGCUUUGGUGGGAUGCUGGGGAUCAAGAUGCUGGCAAAGUUGAAUUUGAAAUUCAGCGCGUGGCUAAUGGAAAGAGUCGAGGUCGAGUCGAGUGCACUGAAAAUAGACGAGCAGAGGGUUCUGCAGAUCCAGGACCAUGAUGUCCAGAAGGUAUUCAGUCUGCCAUGCGGCACCAGAUCGAUAUGCCCCGAUACAACCGAGCCGUCCGAAGCUUGCAAGGAGUUCAUCCGAGCUUCUGCGUAUUUGAGUAAAGGUGCACAUAGUCUAAAGGCCGCGGAGGCUUAUCUCCUGAGAGAUGAUAUCAAUGCAGAUUCCAGCAAGGUCCGGAUAGAUUGCUUCAAGAUAGCCUUUGUCAUUUUUGUUGUUGGGCACCUGUUGGCUCCAUCCACUAAGCAUGACUACAUCACCAUAGAUUUCUGGGCUGCACUCAAUGAUAUCUCGCAAAUUAAAGAAUUUAAUUGGUGUGCUUAUGUGCUCGAGCAUUUGAACAGAGCUGUUGGGAAGUUGAAAUCUGACAUCCGCAACCGGAACAUCACUGUACAUCUUGUUGGCUGCCACCUGUUUCUUCAGGUAUUCUACUUGGACAAUCUUGAUGUUGGUCCACUUUCCAAGACAAAAGACCAUCUACCAAGGAUUAGUCUUUUUGACUACGAGUCCAUUAAGAAGAUGAUAGAAGUGAUCACUACCAACGUGGACGGAGAUACAUCAUUCGCUGGGGCCAAUUUUAGGCGCGCUCAAGAUGUUUGCUACUCCAGAGUCCACUACGAAAGCCACACGCACCGACCAGAUGUAGCUUCUGACCUGCCCCAUCAUGCCCCAGGUUUUGUUGGCACAAAGCACCAACACAACCCAAUUACUCCCAUGCUACGAAGCAGCUUCAUUGAAACUGGACAAGAAGAUCUCUCCAACCAUCUCCGAUCAAAAUACCCGUCACUUGCAGACCACCCGCUUAUGACCAUUUUGGAAGAACAUAAUGCACACAUGAUGGAAAAUAUAUCUGAAAUUAAGCGAAGUUGCCAAGUGGCGAUGUCUACCUUUGCGGACAAGCUUCUUGGCUAUAUAUCCGAGAACCGCUGUUGCUGCAGAGCGGCAGGGCGAACCGAUUGUUUACUGAGGUCGCCGCACACAAUUCAUGAGAUUUCAACCGAGCAGAAUUCACUCUCUCACAAACGGGAUGCACCUGGGUCCACUGGAGCAGGACAUCACAAGAAGAUCCGGGUGAACCAGCCUGUAGUUGAAACAGACCUUCAAGCAAGUAUACCUGGAUGCUCAACUAACAACAGUCUACCCCGCAGUCCUUUACAAGUUGACAUCAACCUGGCUGCACCGUAGUCCAGAUGAGGGUCUUUAUUUUGCGUCCAGCAUCGACUUUCACGCUGAAAUGUUCAUUCCUAGCUGGUUCAGGCAUUUCUGAAUGUGGAAGAAGCCAGAUAUACCGCAGCUAAAACUGCAGAGCUCAACCUCAGGCAUACUAUAAGCACCGGUGCUGGUUAUUUGACAAGGCAACAGUUUUGGCAUCAUGACAGCAAAACCGCGAUUUCUCCCUACAAAAACUCCUCUGCAGGCAAACUCAAACUCUCUAGGAAGAAAAAAAAAGACAAUGUUGUGAGACUGGGACUACAUUGACCAUAAAACACAAGGAGUUUGCUGCUUAGGAUGCGCAGAUGAGGAGUACCAUCAUUGUCUGCAGAUGCAUAGGAAGAUCGGUGGGCACGGGCAUUUUGUUGAGUAGGCUGAAAAGAAGAACAGGAAACACAAGUGAAGAGAUUAACUUGGCACAACAUAGUUUUGCAAGUUGACUUCAACAUUGCUAUUUUUAGUAAUGAAAGACGUGCUGUGAAGAUUCAAGCAAUGAGAAUGGACAGCAUACUUUGUAAAGCUAAGCUAAAACUGCAUGAUCAGGAUAUCCACUGAUUUUACAGUA
Hordeum vulgare subsp. vulgare (domesticated barley) is the source of this 2448-nucleotide RNA transcript. RefSeq lists it as uncharacterized. The record is from RefSeq and is a predicted model, not a curated record. Lineage: Eukaryota; Viridiplantae; Streptophyta; Magnoliopsida; Poales; Poaceae. The transcript is spliced from 9 exons.